AUUAGAGUGGCAGAGUCUGGUAAUUGCAAAAGACCUAAGCUCUUUUACCCAGAGGUUCAACCCCUCUCUCUAGU
Molecule: transfer RNA, 74 nt
Filed under: Necturus alabamensis (Alabama waterdog)
Lineage: Eukaryota; Metazoa; Chordata; Amphibia; Caudata; Proteidae
Description: tRNA-Leu
Source: RNAcentral